GUGUUGUAUGAAAGGAGAGAAGGUUAGCACUCCCCUUGACCAAAAGAUAAUUACAAAUGAGAUCAUCAUAUACAAUACUAAACAGAGUGUCCAAUUCAUAAUAAAUAUUCAAUAAAUGUUAAAGAGAGAAUAUUCCAUUUUUUU
This is a small nuclear RNA of Callithrix jacchus (white-tufted-ear marmoset), 144 nucleotides long. NCBI's taxonomy places the organism in Eukaryota, Metazoa, Chordata, Mammalia, Primates, Cebidae. The record is from Ensembl.